GAUGAACGCUGGCGGCGUGCCUAAUACAUGCAAGUCGAGCGAACGGACGAGGAGCUUGCUCCUCUGACGUUAGCGGCGGACGGGUGAGUAACACGUGGAUAACCUACCUAUAAGACUGGGAUAACUUCGGGAAACCGGAGCUAAUACCGGAUAAUAUAUUGAACCGCAUGGUUCAAUAGUGAAAGACGGUUUUGCUGUCACUUAUAGAUGGAUCCGCGCCGCAUUAGCUAGUUGGUAAGGUAACGGCUUACCAAGGCAACGAUGCGUAGCCGACCUGAGAGGGUGAUCGGCCACACUGGAACUGAGACACGGUCCAGACUCCUACGGGAGGCAGCAGUAGGGAAUCUUCCGCAAUGGGCGAAAGCUUGACGGAGCAACGCCGCGUGAGUGAUGAAGGUCUUCGGAUCGUAAAACUCUGUUAUUAGGGAGGAACAAAUGUGUAAGUAACUAUGCACGUCUUGACGGUACCUAAUCAGAAAGCCACGGCUAACUACGUG
This 497-nucleotide ribosomal RNA is filed under the name uncultured bacterium. RNAcentral describes it as "partial 16S ribosomal RNA". It matches the Rfam family "Bacterial small subunit ribosomal RNA", at positions 28 to 507 of the family's 1533-position model. The record is from RNAcentral.